This 380-nucleotide long non-coding RNA is filed under the name Nicotiana benthamiana. RNAcentral's name for it is "long non-coding RNA (NBEN_LNC035404)". The record is from RNAcentral. Lineage: Eukaryota; Viridiplantae; Streptophyta; Magnoliopsida; Solanales; Solanaceae.
UUACGUACAUUUUCUGCAGGCAGUGUUGGAAGUUGUCCGUUGCUCCUAUUCUCCAUACCAUAUCCUAUGCCAACACCAAGAUCCAAGCUAAUUGAGCCAUUCUCUUCUGCCCUGAACCGUGAACUUCCAGUUACAGGCAUCGAUCCUGCCAUUUCAUGGCUAUUAUUCCUAGCUGUUGGCACAUCGUGAUUGUGUUUCCCCUCACCCGUGAACUUCCAGUUACAGGCACCGAUCCUGCCAUUUCAUGGCUAUUAUUCCUAGCUGUUGGUACAUCGUGAUUGUGUUUCCCCUCAUAGGUAGUAAUUACAGCUUUGGGAUCAUGGGAUGCCCUCUCCACAUGUUUCCUGACAGGGCAUCCAGCAUUGGUGCACUUGUAAUAA